GACGGCAAUAUGAUUGUAGUGACG
RNAcentral lists this non-coding RNA (24 nucleotides) under Arabidopsis thaliana (thale cress). Lineage: Eukaryota; Viridiplantae; Streptophyta; Magnoliopsida; Brassicales; Brassicaceae. The record is from RNAcentral.